CCUACGGGAGGCAGCAGUGAGGAAUAUUGGUCAAUGGGCGCGAGCCUGAACCAGCCAAGUAGCGUGAAGGAUGACUGCCCUACGGGUUGUAAACUUCUUUUAUCAAGGAAUAAAGUGAGGCACGUGUGCCUUUUUGUAUGUACUUUAUGAAUAAGGAUCGGCUAACUCCGUGCCAGCAGCCGCGGUAAUACGGAGGAUCCGAGCGUUAUCCGGAAUCAUUGGGCGUAAAGAGUUCGUAGGCGGCACGUAAAGUCCGGUGUUAAAGGCAGAGGCUCAACUUCCGUACGGCAGUGGAUACUUGCGGGCUAGAGUGCGAGAGAGGUAAAGGGAAUUCCUGGUGUAGCGGUGAAAUGCUUAGAUAUCAGGAGGAACAUCGGUGGCGUAGGCACUUUACUGGGCCGUAAUUGACGCUGAGGAACGAAAGCGAGGGUAGCAAAUGGGAUUAGAUACCCUUGUAGUC
This 460-nucleotide ribosomal RNA is filed under the name uncultured bacterium. Its description in RNAcentral is "partial 16S ribosomal RNA". It matches the Rfam family "Bacterial small subunit ribosomal RNA", at positions 338 to 795 of the family's 1533-position model. The record is from RNAcentral.